AUGGUUCCCGUUUCUUCUCCGUUGACAACUCCACUAGGGGAUGCAGAAGAGACCAACAAAAAGGGAGCAGUAGUUAAGCGACUGAAAGUCCAAGCCAUCAAGAAGGAUAUCAAGCAGAGCCCCAAGAAGGUGAAUCUGGUAGCCAAGCUGGUUCGAGGAAUGCGUGUUGAAGAUGCCCUUUUGCAGCUGCAAGUGACAGUUAAAAGGGCAGCGAAAACUCUGUACCAGGUGAUCCAUUCUGCCCGUGCAAACGCAGCUCACAAUCACGGAUUGGAUUCUGAUAAACUUAUUGUGGAGGAGGCUUUUGUGGGGAAAGGACUUUACCUUAAGAGGCUGUCUUACCAUGCCAAAGGGAGGUGUGGCGUCAGGGAGAGGCCUAGGUGCAGACUGACGGUGGUGGUUAGAGAAGCAACGGCCGAGGAAGAGGCAAAGAUCGCUAAACUGAGAGUUAGCAACUACAAAAAGCUAACCCGGAAGGAGAAGCAGCUCAUGCCGCACCGGCUUAUUGAGGUUAGCCCCAGGUGGGCUUGGAAAAGGAAGGAGGAGACUGGUGCCGCAGUGUAG
This 564-nucleotide ribosomal RNA is filed under the name Triticum aestivum (bread wheat). RNAcentral's name for it is "partial small subunit ribosomal RNA". Lineage: Eukaryota; Viridiplantae; Streptophyta; Magnoliopsida; Poales; Poaceae. The record is from RNAcentral.